This 438-nucleotide ribosomal RNA is filed under the name uncultured Actinomycetales bacterium. RNAcentral describes it as "bacterial SSU rRNA". It matches the Rfam family "Bacterial small subunit ribosomal RNA", at positions 69 to 523 of the family's 1533-position model. Lineage: Bacteria; Bacillati; Actinomycetota; Actinomycetes; Actinomycetales. The record is from RNAcentral.
AAAGGCCCUGCUUGCAGGGUACUCGAGUGGCGAACGGGUGAGUAACACGUGGGUGAUCUGCCCUGCACUUCGGGAUAAGCCUGGGAAACUGGGUCUAAUACCGGAUAGGAGCCAUUUUUAGUGUGAUGGUUGGAAAGUUUUUCGGUGUAGGAUGAGCUCGCGGCCUAUCAGCUUGUUGGUGGGGUAAUGGCCUACCAAGGCGGCGACGGGUAGCCGGCCUGAGAGGGUGGGCGGCCACAUUGGGACUGAGAUACGGCCCAGACUCCUACGGGAGGCAGCAGUGGGGAAUAUUGCACAAUGGGCGCAAGCCUGAUGCAGCGACGCCGCGUGGGGGAUGACGGCCUUCGGGUUGUAAACUCCUUUCGCUAGGGACGAAGCUUUUUGUGACGGUACCUAGAUAAGAAGCACCGGCUAACUACGUGCCAGCCGCCGCGGUAA